GUCUCCGACUCAGACCGCAUCUCUGUUUGAGAAGUUGGGUUCGGCUAUCACUAGGUCGGCCGCCCGGCGAGAAGCAAACGAGCCCAGAUUCGCCGCCGCUGUCCACUCCCCGCCGAGGCGCCGUCCAGCGAGCCACCGGUGUUCCGCUCCGACUCCGAUGGCCAUGGGCACAUCUCCUCGGCUCUACCGCCGGCUCAGGAAGGCCUCCGAUAUCUCUGCCGUCAGCACCACCGCCUCCUCGCCGCUCAAACGAAUGCAUAUGAGCAAGGAACACAACAGUUGCUGUGAGGACAGAAUCAGCAACUUACCUGAUGAUAUACUGAUCAUGAUCCUUGACAAGCUAGAUGCACGCACAACAAUAACCACCAUUAUCCUUUCGAAGCGGUGGAAGGAUCUUCCUCGACGAUCACACACAUCUUAUGACCUUUCCAGUGAUGAAUUUCUCCCUCCACGCUACCACAGGCUGAAGAAAAUGUCCGUGGAGGCUAAGGCCGGGUACGAGGCAGAGAAGAAAGCUCAGAAUUUGACCGACAUUUAUCCUGACCGGUACGAACGGCUUGGCGCUGUCAGAGACCGUUACCAGCGGUGGAUGGGGAAGGUCCAUCUGCUCACUCCAAUCCUGCGACGUUAUGAGCGUCAGGCCAUGCGGUGCUAUGUUAAACGGGUGAAUGCAUUCCUUCUGGAUCCCAACAAUGUCAGAAACGGUCUAUCCAGAAGCUGAGGCUUCAAACAUGUGGGAAGAGCAGUUUCAUUGAUCAAUGGAUUACGGCAGCGAUUGGCAGAUGGGGUGUUGCAGAUUUGGAGCUUGUCAUUGACAACUUUGGCUGGCACUAUGACUUCGGGCUAUUGAGUGGAUUGGAGAAUAUCCAGUUGAAACGGCUUGUGCUAUCCAAUUGCUAUCAUACCGGUUCACACUACCCUUUGGUGUUUCAGAGGCUCACAACACUCAUUCUGUGCAAAGGAAGUGCGAGUAUUACACGCGUUUGCGAUAUUAUGAGAAACUGUACACAACUGGUUGAUUUGAGGCUGAAAAAUUCUAGUUAUCCCCAAGGUGCUUUUCAUAUCUAUGUUGCAACAUCGAAGUUAAAGAAUCUCCAAUUGGACAACUGCAACAUUGGGAAAAUCUAUCUAACUUCGCUGCCUUGUCUUGAAACAUUUGCUUGUCGCGGUCAGCCAACCAAACUAUACUAUGGUGAGAUGCCUCGACUCAUGCAUGUGAGUCUGGACUUCUUGCAAACUGGCGGUAAUGGCGAGGAUGAUUCCUCCGGUAGCAACAUGACAUAUCCACUAAGCAAAUUCUUCAAAGGGAUGCCACCACCGCUACAGUACCUUGUUCUGCAAUUUAGAGGGCGUCAGAUGUGGAUUGAACCAACCAUCACUCACAACCAGUUCAAUCUUCUCAAGAAGUUGUUGAUUGCAAACAUGCCAAUGAACUGGGAUACGUUCUGGAUUCUCAUCCUACUUGGUGCCGCACCUGCCUUGGAGUCACUCUAUGUCCAUAUAUGUCAUUUAUCGACCAAAUAAUCUAAUAACUAUUUCUUUGCCAAACACAUAAUUUUCGGUUUUGAAAGAUUUCCAUAACCAUGUAUUCUGAAACUCUGAAUACAGAUUGACAAUGAUUCAGAGGAGACGAGUGUUGGAUCACAAGAUGUGCAAGUGGAACACAGGCAGCACCAUCACCUGAAAGAACUGGUGGUCGUCGGCUUCGACGGAAUGGGAUGGCAGACAGGCUUUGUGAAGCAGAUCAUGAUCGCGUCACCAAGGCUGAGGCGCGUCCAUCUGCUUGAUGGGCACGUCGUUGAACACGAAGAACGGGAGUUCGGGGACCUGGUGAUAGUGCCACGCCAGCGGGAGUGGCAUGAGUGCGAGAGAUCGGAGGUGCUCGAAGAACUUGCAGAGGGGAUCAGCAUGGCACAUCUCGAAAUAGUUUUAGAAUGACCUCUGAUAAGUUCCUUGUGCUGUUGUGUGGCCUCACCGUAUCCUGUAGAUGCAACGACGUCUAAUUAUGCUGGCUUAAAAGAAAGGAGAACGUGAUUCAUAUGGGCAUCUCGUGCUUUACUUUGCUUGAUAAUGCAAAGAUAUGUGGCUAGCUGUUCA
This is a long non-coding RNA of Brachypodium distachyon (stiff brome), 2097 nucleotides long. RefSeq lists it as uncharacterized. The record is from RefSeq and is a predicted model, not a curated record. Lineage: Eukaryota; Viridiplantae; Streptophyta; Magnoliopsida; Poales; Poaceae. The transcript is spliced from 3 exons.